RNAcentral lists this ribosomal RNA (752 nucleotides) under Bacillus subtilis. RNAcentral's name for it is "bacterial SSU rRNA". It matches the Rfam family "Bacterial small subunit ribosomal RNA", at positions 49 to 784 of the family's 1533-position model. The record is from RNAcentral. Lineage: Bacteria; Bacillati; Bacillota; Bacilli; Caryophanales; Bacillaceae.
UCUAUCAUGCAGUCGAGCGGACAGAUGGGAGCUUGCUCCCUGAUGUUAGCGGCGGACGGGUGAGUAACACGUGGGUAACCUGCCUGUAAGACUGGGAUAACUCCGGGAAACCGGGGCUAAUACCGGAUGGUUGUUUGAACCGCAUGGUUCAAACAUAAAAGGUGGCUUCGGCUACCACUUACAGAUGGACCCGCGGCGCAUUAGCUAGUUGGUGAGGUAACGGCUCACCAAGGCGACGAUGCGUAGCCGACCUGAGAGGGUGAUCGGCCACACUGGGACUGAGACACGGCCCAGACUCCUACGGGAGGCAGCAGUAGGGAAUCUUCCGCAAUGGACGAAAGUCUGACGGAGCAACGCCGCGUGAGUGAUGAAGGUUUUCGGAUCGUAAAGCUCUGUUGUUAGGGAAGAACAAGUACCGUUCGAAUAGGGCGAUACCUUGACGGUACCUAACCAGAAAGCCACGGCUAACUACGUGCCAGCAGCCGCGGUAAUACGUAGGUGGCAAGCGUUGUCCGGAAUUAUUGGGCGUAAAGGGCUCGCAGGCGGUUUCUUAAGUCUGAUGUGAAAGCCCCCGGCUCAACCGGGGAGGGUCAUUGGAAACUGGGGAACUUGAGUGCAGAAGAGGAGAGUGGAAUUCCACGUGUAGCGGUGAAAUGCGUAGAGAUGUGGAGGAACACCAGUGGCGAAGGCGACUCUCUGGUCUGUAACUGACGCUGAGGAGCGAAAGCGUGGGGAGCGAACAGGAUUAGAUA